UACGUAGGGUGCAAGCGUUGUCCGGAAUUAUUGGGCGUAAAGAGCUCGUAGGCGGUCUGUCGCGUCUGCUGUGAAAACUCAGGGCUUAACCCUGAGCUUGCAGUGGGUACGGGCAGACUAGAGUGCGGUAGGGGAGACUGGAAUUCCUGGUGUAGCGGUGAAAUGCGCAGAUAUCAGGAAGAACACCCGUGGCGAAGGCGGUUCUCUGGGACGGUACUGACGCUGAGACGCGAAAGCGUGGGGAGCGAACAGG
This 253-nucleotide ribosomal RNA is filed under the name uncultured bacterium. Its description in RNAcentral is "partial 16S ribosomal RNA". It matches the Rfam family "Bacterial small subunit ribosomal RNA", at positions 524 to 776 of the family's 1533-position model. The record is from RNAcentral.